Molecule: ribosomal RNA, 515 nt
Filed under: uncultured bacterium
Lineage: Bacteria
Description: partial 16S ribosomal RNA
Rfam family: Bacterial small subunit ribosomal RNA
Source: RNAcentral
GACGAACGCUGGCGGCGUGCCUAAUACAUGCAAGUCGAGCGAUGAUUAAAGAUAGCUUGCUAUUUUUAUGAAGAGCGGCGAACGGGUGAGUAACGCGUGGGAAAUCUGCCGAGCAGCGGGGGACAACGUUUGGAAACGAACGCUAAUACCGCAUAACAAUGAGAAUCGCAUGAUUCUUAUUUGAAAGAAGCAAUUGCUUCACUACUUGAUGAUCCCGGGUUGUAUUGGCUAGUUGGUAGUGUAAAGGACUACCAAGGCGAUGAUACAUAGCCGACAUGAGCGGGUGAGCGGCCACACUGGGACUGAGACACGGCCCAGUCUCCUACGGGAGGCAGGAGUAGGGAAUCUUCGGCAAUGGGGGCAACCCUGACCGAGCAACGCCGCGUGAGUGAAGAAGGUUUUCGAAUCGUAAAACUCUGUUGUUAGAGAAGAACGUUAAGUAGAGUGGAAAAUUACUUAAGUGACGGUAUCUAACCAGAAAGGGACGGCUAACUACGUGCCAGCCGCCGCGGUAA